UGUAAUUAGGCAUAUUGAUGUCUAGGUGAAAUGAAGGAAUUCACUUAUUGACAUAUGCCAUGAUCCUGAUUUAAUAUUGGGGAAGGCAUGUCCCCUAUGUUUUUUCCACAGAAUGCUGCAGAAGAUAUGCUGACUGUGUGCUUGCUGAAUGCCCAGACCAUGGUAACAUAAGAGCUAUAUUGGGUCUAGGAAUUCCUGAAUUAAACAGGUGACCCACCCAGCUGCCAGAGCAGUCAAGACGAGGACCUCCAAGAGAAGCUAGACAACUUCCACCGGAACUCAGCCUGGAGUCUGGGGGGGAAGGGUUUGCCCAAACUGUUAAAAGGUCUGGCGCCAUUAAAGUUUCGGGCUUUGAUCAGUGAA
Molecule: long non-coding RNA, 363 nt
Organism: Apodemus sylvaticus (European woodmouse)
Lineage: Eukaryota; Metazoa; Chordata; Mammalia; Rodentia; Muridae
Exons: 2
Source: RefSeq, a predicted model, not a curated record